ACCAGACUCCUACGGGAGGCAGCAGUGGGGAAUAUUGCACAAUGGGGGAAACCCUGAUGCAGCAACGCCGCGUGAGUGAAGAAGUAUUUCGGUAUGUAAAGCUCUCUCAGCAGGGAAGAAGAAGGACGGUACCUGACUAAGAAGCCCCGGCUAACUACGUGCCAGCAGCCGCGGUAAUACGUAGGGGGCGAGCGUUAUCCGGAUUUACUGGGUGUAAAGGGAGCGUAGACGGUUAAUCAAGUCUGAAGUGAAAGCCCGCGGCUCAACUGCGGAACGGCUUUGGAAACUGAGUAACUGGAGUGCUGGAGGGGCAGGCGGAAUUCCUGGUGUAGCGGUGAAAUGCGUAGAUAUCAGGAGGAACACCGGUGGCGAAGGCGGCCUGCUGGACAGUAACUGACGUUGAGGCUCGAAAGCGUGGGGAGCAAACAGGAUUAGAUACCCUGGUA
This 446-nucleotide ribosomal RNA is filed under the name uncultured bacterium. Its description in RNAcentral is "bacterial SSU rRNA". It matches the Rfam family "Bacterial small subunit ribosomal RNA", at positions 330 to 792 of the family's 1533-position model. The record is from RNAcentral.